Molecule: ribosomal RNA, 239 nt
Filed under: uncultured bacterium
Lineage: Bacteria
Description: partial 16S ribosomal RNA
Rfam family: Bacterial small subunit ribosomal RNA
Source: RNAcentral
AACGUGGAUAAUCUGCCCUGCACAGGGGGACAACAGCUAGAAAUGGCUGCUAAUACCGCAUAAGCCUACAGCCUCGCAUGAGGGAGUAGGAAAAGAAAUUCGGUGCAGGAUGAGUCCGCGUCUGAUUAGCUAGUUGGAGGGGUAAGAGCCCACCAAGGCAACGAUCAGUAGCCGGCCUGAGAGGGCGACCGGCCACAUUGGGACUGAGACACGGCCCAAACUCCUACGGGAGGCAGCAG